This 253-nucleotide ribosomal RNA is filed under the name uncultured bacterium. Its description in RNAcentral is "partial 16S ribosomal RNA". It matches the Rfam family "Bacterial small subunit ribosomal RNA", at positions 524 to 776 of the family's 1533-position model. The record is from RNAcentral.
UACGGAGGAUCCAAGCGUUAUCCGGAUUCAUUGGGUUUAAAGGGUGCGUAGGUGGGUCUGUAAGUCCGUGGUGAAAUCUCCGAGCUUAACUUGGAAACUGCCAUGGAUACUAUAGGUCUUGAAUAUUGUGGAGGUCAGCAGAAUAUGUCAUGUAGCGGUGAAAUGCUUAGAGAUGACAUAGAACACCAAUUGCGAAGGCAGCUGGCUACGCAUAUAUUGACACUGAGGCUCGAAAGCGUGGGGAUCAAACAGG